UUAAAUUAAUAAGGGCGUACGUGUGGAUCACUUGGCACUAGAAGCUGAUGAAGGACGUGACAAACUACGAAAUGCCUCGGGGAGCUGUAAGUAAGCUUCGAUCCGGGGAUAUCCGAAUGGGGGAACCCACUUGUGGUCAUGCGCAAGUAUCAAUUAGUGAACACAUAGCUAAACUGAGAGCAACCCGCUGAACUGAAACAUCUUAGUAAGCGGAGGAAAAGAAAGAAAAAUCGAUUUCCCAAGUAGUGGCGAGCGAAAAGGAAAUAGCCCAAACCAGUCUAUGGACUGGGGUUGUAGGACCAUUAUAUAAGAGUUACAAAACUAUAUCAUAGUUGAAUUAGCUGGGAAGCUAAACCGUAGAAAGUGAUAGUCUUGUAAGCAAAAUGAUGUAGACUCUUUAUGGUAUCCUGAGUACGGCGGAGCACGUGAAAUUCCGUCGGAAUCCGCGGGGACCAUCCCGCAAGGCUAAAUACUCUCUAGUGACCGAUAGUGAACAAGUACCGUGAGGGAAAGUUGAAAAGAACCCCGGGAGGGGAGUGAAAUAGACAGUGAAACCGUAUGCUUACAAAAAGUUAGAGCCCGUUAAUGGGUGAUAGCGUGCCUUUUGCAGAAUGAACCGGCGAGUUAUUGUAUUAUGCAAGGUUAAGUUGAAUAGACGGAGCCGAAGCGAAAGCGAGUCUUAAUAGGGCGAUAUAGUAUGAUGUAAUAGACCCGAAACCGAGUGAUCUAGCCAUGAGCAGGUUGAAGGUAAGGUAACACUUACUGGAGGACCGAACCGACGUACCCGGAAACGUGCGCGGAUGACUUGUGGCUAGCGGAGAAAUUCCAAUCGAACUCGGAUAUAGCUGGUUCUCCCCGAAAUAGGUUUACGCCUAGCCUCGUGGUAAAGCUUCUUGGAGGUAGAGCACUGAAUAGACGAUGGCGUCGUAUAGAUGUACUGAAUUUAAUCAAACUCCGAAUGCCAGGAAAGUAUACACGGGAGUCAGUGUAUGGGUGAUAACGUCCAUACGCGAGAGGAAAACAAUCCAGACCACCAGCUAAGGUCCCAAAUUUCAUGUUAAGUGGGAAAGGAUGUGGAGUUGUCUAAACAGCUAGGAGGUUGGCUUAGAAGCAGCCAUCCUUUAAAGAGUGCGUAAUAGCUCACUAGUCGAAUGACACUGCGCCGAAAAUGUACCGGGGCUAAACAUGAAACCGAAGCUGUGGAUUUUAUAGAUAAUAUAAAAUGGUAGGGGAGCGUUCUAAUUGCGACGAAGAUGGAUCGUGAGGACUGUUGGAGCGAUUAGAAGUGAGAAUGCCGGUGUGAGUAGCGCAAGAAGGGUGAGAAUCCCUUCCACCGUUUGCCUAAGGGUUCCUGGGGAAGGUUCGUCCUCCCAGGGUAAGUCGGGUCCUAAGACGAGGCCGAAAGGCGUAGCCGAUGGACAACAGGUUGAUAUUCCUGUACCACCUAUAUAACUGAUGGAGUGACGAAGGAGGCUAUAGAAAGCCAGUUAAUGGAUUCUGGUCUAAGCACAUAGGCGUACAUAUAGGCAAAUCCGUAUGUAAUGUAGCUGAAGUGUUAUGGUGAAGGUAAUAGCGAUAUUACUGAAAUUUCUAGACGCCAAACUUCCAAGAAAAGCUUCUAGGGUUAAUUAUAUAGGUGCCCGUACCCAGAACCGACACAGGUAGGCAAGGAGAGUAUCCUAAGGUGAGCGAGAGAACUAUGGUUAAGGAACUCGGCAAAAUGACCCCGUAACUUCGGGAGAAGGGGUGGUCUAGCGAUAGACCCGCAGUAAAGAGUCCCAGGCAACUGUUUACCAAAAACACAGCUCUCUGCUAAAUCGAAAGAUGAUGUAUAGGGGGUGACACUUGCCCAGUGCUGGAAGGUUAAGAGGAGAGGUUAGUAAUGACUUCGGUUAUAUUUACGAAGCUUCGAAUUGAAGCCCCAGUGAACGGCGGCCGUAACUAUAACGGUCCUAAGGUAGCGAAAUUCCUUGUCAGGUAAGUUCUGACCCGCACGAAAAGUGUAAUGAUCUGGGAACUGUCUCAACCAUAGACUCGGUGAAAUCUUAAUACCUGUGAAAAUGCAGGUUACCCGCGACAGGACGGAAAGACCCCAUGGAGCUUUACUGUAGCUUGAUAUUGGAUCUCGAUGUGUUAUGUAGAGGAUAGGUGGGAGACUAUGAUGUUAGGACGCUAGUUCUAACGGAGUCAACCUUGGAAUACCACCCUUAGCAUGUUGAGAUUCUAACCUCGACCCAUUAUCUGGGUCAGGGACAGUGUCUGGUGGGCAGUUUGACUGGGGCGGUCGCCUCCCAAAAAGUAACGGAGGCGCUCAAAGGUUCCCUCAGAAUGGUUGGAAAUCAUUCGAAGAGCGUAAUGGUAUAAGGGAGCUUUACUGCGAGACCUACAAGUCAAGCAGUUACGAAAGUAGGACAUAGUGGGCCGGCGAUUCAGAAUGGAAUGGUCGUCGCUUAACGGAUAAAAGUUACCCUGGGGAUAACAGGCUGAUACCACCCAAUAGUUCACAUAGACGGUGGUGAUUGGCACCUCGAUGUCGGCUCGUCACAUCCUGGAGCUGGAUUCGGUUCCAAGGGUUGGGCUGUUCGCCCAUUAAAGUGGCACGCGAGCUGGGUUCAGAACGUCGUGAGACAGUUCGGUCCCUAUCCGUCGUGGGCGCAGGAAAAUUGAGAAGAGCUAUCCUUAGUACGAGAGGACCGGGAUGGACAUACCUCUGGUGUAUCUGUUGUAACGCCAGUUGCAGUGCAGAGUAGCUAUGUAUGGAAUCGAUAACCGCUGAAAGCAUCUAAGCGGGAAGCGAACUUCAAGAUGAAUUUUCCCAUAUUUUUAUAAUAGUAAGAUCCCUGAAAGACUAUCAGGUUGAUAGGCUGGAGAUGGAAGUGUAGUGAUACAUUGAGUUGACCAGUACUAAUAGAUCGAGGAUUUAACCAU
RNAcentral lists this ribosomal RNA (2928 nucleotides) under human gut metagenome. RNAcentral describes it as "bacterial LSU rRNA". It matches the Rfam family "Bacterial large subunit ribosomal RNA". The record is from RNAcentral.